UUGACAGCCCAGGAAUACAAAAUCCUCACUUCAUCCAAGGAACAGAUGUUGGCAUGGGCAGUGGUACAAGCUUCCCAUGCUGCCCUGUCAACAUUCUUCAACCCUGGAGGGACCAUCUUUACAAGUGAGAAGAUAGCUCAGUCUCCAUGCCCAUUCUGACUUUGAUCUCU
This is an unclassified non-coding RNA of Chelonoidis abingdonii (Abingdon island giant tortoise), 170 nucleotides long. The record is from Ensembl. NCBI's taxonomy places the organism in Eukaryota, Metazoa, Chordata, Testudines, Testudinidae.